This 73-nucleotide transfer RNA is filed under the name Paramuricea clavata. It matches the Rfam family "tRNA". Rfam says of the family: Transfer RNA (tRNA) molecules are approximately 80 nucleotides in length. The record is from Rfam by way of RNAcentral. Lineage: Eukaryota; Metazoa; Cnidaria; Anthozoa; Malacalcyonacea; Plexauridae.
GACCGUGUAGCUCAGUUAGCAGAGCAUUGGGCUAGCAUUCCAAAGGUCGUAGGUUCGAUUCCCACCGUGGUCA